GCAGACACAUUCCAGCCAAUCAGCAGCAGACCCUCCUCCCUCCCAGACCCUCCCGCCUCCUGGACAGCAUCCAUUUUACAUUCAUUAUGAAGCUGCAUUCUUAGUGAGCUGUCCAGGAGGUGGGAGGGUCUGGGAGGGAGGGUCUGCUGCUGAUUGGCUGGAAUGUGUCU
Molecule: microRNA precursor, 170 nt
Filed under: Pelobates cultripes (western spadefoot toad)
Lineage: Eukaryota; Metazoa; Chordata; Amphibia; Anura; Pelobatidae
Source: RNAcentral